RNAcentral lists this ribosomal RNA (450 nucleotides) under uncultured bacterium. RNAcentral describes it as "bacterial SSU rRNA". It matches the Rfam family "Bacterial small subunit ribosomal RNA", at positions 354 to 796 of the family's 1533-position model. The record is from RNAcentral.
GUGGGGAAUAUUGGACAAUGGGGGCAACCCUGAUCCAGCAAUGCCGCGUGUGUGAAGAAGGCCUUCGGGUUGUAAAGCACUUUUAUCAGGAAAGAAAUCCUAUCGGCCAAUACCCGGUGGGGAUGACGGUACCUGAGGAAUAAGCACCGGCUAACUUCGUGCCAGCAGCCGCGGUAAUACGAAGGGUGCAAGCGUUAAUCGGAAUUACUGGGCGUAAAGGGUGCGUAGGCGGCCUGUUAAGUCCGAUGUGAAAGCCCUGGGCUCAACCUGGGAAUGGCAUUGGAGACUGGCGGGCUGGAGUGCGGUAGAGGGUGGUGGAAUUCCCGGUGUAGCGGUGAAAUGCGUAGAGAUCGGGAGGAACAUCCGUGGCGAAGGCGGCCACCUGGACCAGCACUGACGCUGAGGCACGAAAGCGUGGGGAGCAAACAGGAUUAGAAACCCUUGUAGUCC